Molecule: ribosomal RNA, 465 nt
Filed under: uncultured bacterium
Lineage: Bacteria
Description: partial 16S ribosomal RNA
Rfam family: Bacterial small subunit ribosomal RNA
Source: RNAcentral
CCUACGGGCGGCAGCAGUGGGGAAUAUUGCGCAAUGGGCGAAAGCCUGACGCAGCGACGCCGCGUGAGGGAUGAAGGUCUUCGGAUCGUAAACCUCUGUCAGCAGGGAAGAACGGUCACUGUGCUAAUCAGCAGUGAAUUGACGGUACCUGCAAAGGAAGCACCGGCUAACUCCGUGCCAGCAGCCGCGGUAAUACGGAGGGUGCGAGCGUUAAUCGGAAUUAUUGGGCGUAAAGCGCUCGUAGGCGGUAUGUCAAGUCAAGGGUGAAAUCCCCGGGCUCAACGGGGGAACUGCCUUUGAAACUGGCAAACUUGAGUGUGGUAGAGGUGAGUGGAAUUCCAGGUGUAGCAGUGAAAUGCGUAGAUAUCUGGAGGAACAUCAGUGGCGAAGGCGGCUAUCUGGCACAUAACUGACGCUGAGGCGCGAAAGCGUGGGUAGCAAACAGGAUUAGAUACCCGAGUAGUC